GGUGGCUCAGUGGUAGAGUGUUUGCCUUGCAUGCAUGAGGUCCUGGGUUCGAUUCCUCAGCACCA
Dipodomys ordii (Ord's kangaroo rat) is the source of this 65-nucleotide non-coding RNA. Lineage: Eukaryota; Metazoa; Chordata; Mammalia; Rodentia; Heteromyidae. The record is from Rfam.